GCUCCAUCUAGUGGAUGCAUUGUAGAUUGUGUCUUAUCAUGCGGUGUGUCCAAUAUCUGGAAAAAAAAUAAGCCAUUCAUUGAAGGUGCGUCUCAUAAUCCAGUGCGCCUAUUAGUGUGGAAAAUACGGUAUAUAUGCAUUUUUAAAAAAAAUCACUGCUCAGCUUGACCCUUCUUUUCAAAAAAAGGCUCAUUUGUGCCGCUCUUUGGCGAAACCAACUCAUGUUCUACCGCAACAAGUCUACACUUUCUUUUGGUGGGUCAAAACAAAAUAUUUUUGGGGUCUUGAAAGACUGUUCUGGCAAUUUGGGGGCUUAAGACAUUUGCGAUCUGAAGUCAAAUACGCCAUUUUUAAAGUGACUUUUUGUCAGUUAACACGAGUGGUGAAACCCGAAUUUGCCCCCGUGUUUAUCCACCGAGAGGAUUUCUGCAACCCACAUCAACGCGUUAACGUACCUGAUCGCCUUCUGACCGAGCGAUUAUGACUCACUCACACCCGUCGCACCACUACUCCUCCAUCUCUGAUAGUCAUCUUCUGAAUCAGCGAGGCGUCAUCGUGCGCACACAAAAGCGGUGGGCCCUUUUUCGCAAUCGCAGGUUGCCCGAAUGGCGUCACGCGUCCAGCAGAUGCUUUGAUCCGCUCCCAUGUCGCAAAAGGACAGAUGUUGGCAUUAGCAUUUGAGCGCAAAGCACUUUCAUUCAGUACAUUGUGUAGUGGAGGUGGUAAAUAGUCGGGUAUUAUCUGUCAAGGACCACUCCGGAGUCCGUGACUCCCCCCGAGAGAAACAAUACACAUUUCACAACCAGGUUACAUGUGCGCCAUCUUACACACGGAUGGAGUCUCUUUACAAAUCUUCCCUUUUUGAUAUGCCUUCAUGUCAUUGAUAGAUUUGGCCGCGGCGACUGCGAGAGAUUAUUUCUCGCAUGUUGCCAUUACUCACGUCGGGGGGGGAAAAAAAAUCCUCUUUCCCACCAUCUGUCUUUCGCCCUGAUUACUGUCACGGCUGCGCAGCAUUUUAUAGCGUGUGUUAGCGCAUUAGCAUCAUGUGUCUCUAGAUGCCUAAGCGGACAAAUUUGAGAAAUGUUUUUACCAAAGAUGCCUUGCUACUGGCUUUGCAAACCUUUCACGUUCUCGUCGUGCCUGCCUAGCUUUUCUCCAGCUUCCUCCCACAUCCCCCCCCCAAAAAUAAAACAAGAAUGCACGAAAGAUUUGUCGCUCUGCUUCCAGUCCAGUACGUUGGAUAUCAGCCGCAGCCAAACGAGGUCAUGUGUAAAUCAGCUGCAGUUUGUCACUUAGAUUACCAGAGGCUCACUUUAGCUCCCUGGGCCCGCCGCUGCCCAUGUUCCAAAAAUGUCAACAAGGAACAAAUUUCACCACUAUACUGUUCAUCAUCAAAUUAGUUGACCUUCCGAAAUCUCCUGCGUGGCUUCUUGUGGUCGUGCAAGCGUGCCGCGUUUGACACAACACGGAAUAAUAGUCAGAGAAUGAAAGCGGAGGGUUUGCGUCACACUGGCAGACGGUUGAGCUGCGACAUGACAACUUCUUGUUCGCUUCUUUAGCCUUGUGGCAACUGUUGACAUACGUGGCAGUUUGAGACUUGUUAUCGUCUCCUCUCCGAAACUACCGCCACGCAGGCCUCUUGUACCAUUUCAAAAUGAUGCUACAGCUCGGCAAAUCAUUCACCGGUUUAGGUUCUGAGGAGAUGGAAAAUAAACCCAGUAGGGUACUGAGGUCAGCAGACUCGGGUCAAGUAGUGGAGGCCAGGAAAUGCUAAAACUGGGAGGAUCAACUCACGACCUGAGACAGCAGCAGGAGAUGAGAACCAAGCAAUUAGGAGGAUGGAGGAGAUUAAAGUGGAGAGUUUCAGCAUUGCGGCUCAAUGCUUCCCUCCGAACUUGAAGAAAUUGGUGCCGCUGUUGGAGAACUGCAACGAUUAUGCAUGCACCCAGAAACCACACCAUUGAAAUAAUACACUUAUGCCAGAGAAUGCAAUUAGUGAUAGUCUGACAGCACUCUAUUACUCUGCUUGCUUGCGUGUGUGUGUGUGUGUGUGUGUGUGUGUGUGUGUGUCUGUGUCUGUGUGUGUGUGUCUGUGUGUGUGUGUGUGUGUGUGUGUGUGUGUGUGUGUGUGUGUGUGUGUGUGUGUGUGUGUGUCUGUGUGUGUGUGUGUGAGAAAGAGAUUGUUGUGUCGGCUAAUUAAAGUCUGAUAAUCAUGAAAGAUAAACUACAGUUAAUCGUGGCAAUCAAAAUGCAUGCCAAUUACUGUAUGUCUGACUAAUUAAUGGGUAUACGCAAGCCACUUUUAAUGACAGUUAAUGUGCCGAAAUGCACCUCAUCUUGGCAAGUUCACAAGAGGAAGAAACACAAUAAAGGUUUGCAAAAAAAAAAAAGAUAAA
Molecule: long non-coding RNA, 2396 nt
Organism: Hippocampus zosterae (dwarf seahorse)
Lineage: Eukaryota; Metazoa; Chordata; Actinopteri; Syngnathiformes; Syngnathidae
Exons: 2
Source: RefSeq, a predicted model, not a curated record